GGGAACUGAAACAUCUAAGUACCCCGAGGAAAAGAAAUCAACCGAGAUUCCCCCAGUAGCGGCGAGCGAACGGGGAGGAGCCCAGAGCCAGAAUCAGCUUGUGUGUUAGUGGAAGCGUCUGGAAAGACGCGCGAUACAGGGUGACAGCCCCGUACACAAAAAUGCACAGGUUGUGAGCUCGAUGAGUAGGGCGGGACACGUGGUAUCCUGUCUGAAUAUGGGGGGACCAUCCUCCAAGGCUA
Molecule: ribosomal RNA, 242 nt
Filed under: Stephanopyxis turris
Lineage: Eukaryota; Bacillariophyta; Melosirophyceae; Stephanopyxales; Stephanopyxidaceae
Description: partial Bacterial large subunit ribosomal RNA
Rfam family: Bacterial large subunit ribosomal RNA
Source: RNAcentral